GUGUAAAUCUUGUGGGAGCCACGAAAUGGGUCAUUUUAAAGAUGUGGUCACGGUGUUCUUACGAGAAAUCUUAUUUUCCUUUGGUCCUUGUGAAGAUGCUGUGAUCACAAAGGCAGCCCCUGGAGCUUCUCCGGGCAGAAGAGGAGAGAAGCUGCUGGUGAUCACUGUGGCCACAGCUGAAACCGAGGGGUACCUGCGUUUCCUGCGCUCUGCGGAGUUCUUCAACUACACUGUGCAGACCCUGGGCCUGGGAGAGGAGUGGCGAGGGGGUGAUGUGGCUCGAACAGUUGGUGGAGGACAGAAGGUCCGGUGGUUAAAGAAGGAAAUGGAGAAAUACGCUGACCGGGAGGAUAUGAUCAUCAUGUUUGUGGAUAGCUACGACGUGAUUCUGGCCGGCAGCCCCACAGAGCUGCUGAAGAAGUUCGUCCAGAGUGGCAGCCGCCUGCUCUUCUCUGCAGAGAGCUUCUGCUGGCCCGAGUGGGGGCUGGCGGAGCAGUACCCUGAGGUGGGCACGGGGAAGCGCUUCCUCAACUCUGGUGGAUUCAUCGGUUUUGCCACCACCAUCCACCAAAUCGUGCGCCAGUGGAAGUACAAGGAUGAUGACGAUGACCAGCUGUUCUACACACGGCUCUACCUGGACCCAGGACUGAGGGAGAAACUCAGCCUUAAUCUGGAUCAUAAGUCUCGGAUCUUUCAGAACCUCAACGGGGCUUUAGAUGAAGUGGUUUUAAAGUUUGAUCGGAACCGUGUGCGUAUCCGGAACGUGGCCUACGACACGCUCCCCAUUGUGGUCCAUGGAAACGGUCCCACUAAGGUGCCACCAGUGGUCUCAACCCCCGCCCCGCCCUGCCCCAACCCCCAGGCACCUCCAACCCUUCUGAGAAGCUGGCCCUUCCCAGCCCCCAUAGCAGAGGUGCCUGACCCCCACCUCCACCCCUGGAGGCCUCAGCCACUCAGCCUCAGUCUGUCCCCAACAGCUGCAGCUCAACUACCUGGGAAACUACGUCCCCAAUGGCUGGACUCCUGAGGGAGGCUGUGGCUUCUGCAACCAGGACCGGAGGGCACUCCCGGGGGGGCAGCCUCCCCCCCGGGUGUUUCUGGCCGUGUUUGUGGAACAGCCUACUCCGUUUCUGCCCCGCUUCCUGCAGCGGCUGCUACUCCUGGACUAUCCCCCCGACAGGGUCACCCUUUUUCUGCACAACAACGAGGUCUUCCAUGAGCCCCACAUCGCUGACUCCUGGCCGCAGCUCCAGGACCACUUCUCAGCUGUGAAGCUCGUGGGGCCGGAGGAGGCUCUGAGCCCAGGCGAGGCCAGGGACAUGGCCAUGGACCUGUGUCGGCAGGACCCCGAGUGUGAGUUCUACUUCAGCCUGGACGCCGACACUGUCCUCACCAACCUGCAGACCCUGCGUAUCCUCAUUGAGGAGAACAGGAAGGUGAUCGCCCCCAUGCUGUCCCGCCACGGCAAGCUGUGGUCCAACUUCUGGGGCGCCCUGAGCCCCGAUGAGUACUAUGCCCGCUCCGAGGACUACGUGGAGCUGGUGCAGCGGAAGCGAGUGUGAGUCCCGCCAGCCUGCAGCCCCCC
This 1585-nucleotide small RNA is filed under the name Pan troglodytes (chimpanzee). Its description in RNAcentral is "retained intron". The record is from RNAcentral. Lineage: Eukaryota; Metazoa; Chordata; Mammalia; Primates; Hominidae.